GGGCGGCUAGCUCAGUUGGUUAGAGCGCUAUCCUCACACGGUAGAGGUCCCCAGUUCGAGCCUGGGGCCGCCCACCC
Molecule: transfer RNA, 77 nt
Filed under: Planctomycetota bacterium
Lineage: Bacteria; Pseudomonadati; Planctomycetota
Description: Planctomycetes bacterium (sediment metagenome) tRNA-Val
Rfam family: tRNA
About the family: Transfer RNA (tRNA) molecules are approximately 80 nucleotides in length.
Source: RNAcentral